RNAcentral lists this ribosomal RNA (421 nucleotides) under uncultured bacterium. RNAcentral's name for it is "partial 16S ribosomal RNA". It matches the Rfam family "Bacterial small subunit ribosomal RNA", at positions 360 to 773 of the family's 1533-position model. The record is from RNAcentral.
AAUAUUGGACAAUGGGGGCAAUCCUGAUCCAGCCAUGCCGCGUGUGUGAAUAAGGACUUCGGAUUGUAAAGCACUUUAAGUUGGGAGGAAGGGCUUUAGGUUAAUACCCUGAAGUUUUGACGUUACCAACAGAAUAAGAACAGGAUAACUCUGUGCCAGAAGCCUCGGUAAUACAGAGGGUGCAAGCGUUAAUCGGAAUUACUGGGCGUAAAGCGCGCGUAGGUGGUUCAGUAAGAUGGGUGUGAAAUCCCCGGGCUUAACCUGGGAACUGCUUUCAUAACUGCUGAGCUAGAGUACGGUAGAGGGUAGUGGAAUUUCCUGUGUAGCGGUGAAAUGCGUAGAUAUAGGAAGGAACACCAGUGGCGAAGGCGACUACCUGGACUGAUACUGACACUGAGGUGCGAAAGCGUGGGGAGCAAAC